GACGAACGCUGGCGGCGUGCUUAACACAUGCCAGUCGAACGGAAAGGCCCUGCUUGCAGGGUGCUCGAGUGGCGAACGGGUGAGUAACACGUGGGUGAUCUGCCCCUUACUUUGGGAUAAGCCUGGGAAACUGGGUCUAAUACUGGAUAGGACCAUGCUGUAGGUGGUGUGGUGGAAAGAUUAGUUUCGGUAAGGGAUGAGCUCGCGGCCUAUCAGCUUGUUGGUGGGGUAAUGGCCUACCAAGGCGUCGACGGGUAGCCGGCCUGAGAGGGUGGACGGCCACAUUGGGACUGGGAUACGGCGCAGACGCCUACGGGAGGCAGCAGUGGGGAAUAGUGCACAAUGGGCGCAAGCCUGAUGCAGCGACGCCGCGUGGGGGAUGACGGCCUUCGGGUUGUAAACUCCUUUCAGCCAUGACGAAGCCCUUGUGGUGACGGUAGUGGUAGAAGAAGCACCGGCUAACUACGUG
This 469-nucleotide ribosomal RNA is filed under the name uncultured bacterium. RNAcentral's name for it is "partial 16S ribosomal RNA". It matches the Rfam family "Bacterial small subunit ribosomal RNA", at positions 28 to 507 of the family's 1533-position model. The record is from RNAcentral.